Molecule: ribosomal RNA, 843 nt
Filed under: uncultured bacterium
Lineage: Bacteria
Description: bacterial SSU rRNA
Rfam family: Bacterial small subunit ribosomal RNA
Source: RNAcentral
AGGGGAGACUGGAAUUCCUGGUGUAGCGGUGGAAUGCGCAGAUAUCAGGAGGAACACCGAUGGCGAAGGCAGGUCUCUGGGCCAAUACUGACACUGAGGAGCGAAAGCGUGGGGAGCGAACAGGAUUAGAUACCCUGGUAGUCCACGCCGUAAACGGUGGGCGCUAGUUGUGCGAACCUUCCACGGUUUGUGCGACGCAGCUAACGCAUUAAGCGCCCCGCCUGGGGAGUACGAUCGCAAGAUUAAAACUCAAAGGAAUUGACGGGGCCCCGCACAAGCAGCGGAGCAUGCGGCUUAAUUCGACGCAACGCGAAGAACCUUACCAAGGCUUGACAUAUACAGGAAUAUGGCAGAAAUGUCAUAGCCGCAAGGUCUGUAUACAGGUGGUGCAUGGUUGUCGUCAGCUCGUGUCGUGAGAUGUUGGGUUAAGUCCCGCAACGAGCGCAACCCUCGUUCUGUGUUGCCAGCAUUUAGUUGGGGACUCACAGGAGACUGCCGGGGUUAACUCGGAGGAAGGUGGGGAUGACGUCAAAUCAUCAUGCCCCUUAUGUCUUGGGCUGCACGCAUGCUACAAUGGCUGGUACAAACGGCUGCGAUACCGCAAGGUGGAGCGAAUCCGAUAAAGCCAGUCUCAGUUCGGAUUGGGGUCUGCAACUCGACCCCAUGAAGUCGGAGUUGCUAGUAAUCGUAGAUCAGCAACGCUACGGUGAAUACGUUCCCGGGGCUUGUACACACCGCCCGUCACAUCACGAAAGUCGGUAACACCCAAAGUCAGUGGCCCAACCGCAAGGAGGGAGCUGCCAAAGGUGGGAUCGGUGAUUGGGAUGAAGUCGUAACAAGGUA